UUUGUUUUUUUUCUUCUCUCUUUUUUUUCCUCACACUUUUUUUUUCUUUUUCUUUCUCUUUUUUUUUUCUCUGACUUCUUUUUCUUUUUUCUCUCUUUUUUUCUCUGUCUUUUUUUCUCUCCCUCUUUCCAAGACAAACUAGAUAAGAUGUAGAUUGGAUCAAGCGAAGAUGUGAACGACCUCAACUAUGAUUGUGACAAUGAACUAGGGAUAGCACGAGGUGGAAAAUGAUAGAUGGUGUGGUGGAUAGCGGAAGGGAUAACGAUGCAGCGGCGACGUGACUAAUGUGAACAGAACUCGAAACUCUAACGUACUAGACGCUAGGACCAGCAACUUGACACGCGAUGCAACCGCAAAUUCAACAAAGCAAAUACAGAAAAGUUUAUGCAAAGGCUCAAAUUGGUUCGGAUAAGAUGAACUAACCCUAAUAUUUUUUUUGGCUUUUUCGUGGACUAUAGGUAUGAAGAACAGACUCGAUCUAAACUACGAAAAACAGUAAAAUCUCACCGAGCAACCUGGAAAUCUGAUACCACUUGAUAGAGGCGAGGGUGUCCUGAUCUUUCGAUGAGAUGAUACCUAUCGAUUUGGUGGAGUCGACUUUGGCGAUCCGACUACAAACGUGCACGACGUUGCGCCUUAGCAAUCAUUAAACCAAUCUCCUGAGGUUACUGACAAUGCCGGAAGCACGAUCAGCCUGACCACGAAGGUCUAUUCCUGCACACAAUCGAAGAACGAGCAAUAAUAUGAUAAAGCAAUCUGAAUAUUGCGAAUAUAUAUGAAGUAUUGAUAAUGGUGGGGAUCCGUAAGCGGUCUUGGUCUGGUCGUUCGACACAAACGAAGUACACGAAGUUGCAAUGGCUAACUUUUAACUAAACAAAUCCCAAGGAAAAAGCUACUAGAUGGAUCUACUUAUAUAGGAGCAAGGGGUGGCGGCCACGGAGGUGGGAGGACGUCCCAAGGCAGCCUAAAACCAACCCUAAGUCGUACAAGGCUCAUGGGCCCAAGUAGAGGUGAUGCAACACCUUUGGACUUGUUGUUUGACUCAGAUUCUGCUGCAGCGUCAGAUUGUUUCGUCCAUAUCUCAACGCUCCGGACGAAUUUAAAGGUGAAUCUAAUUGGGUUGGAAAGAGGACGAAAUCUACUUUCCAACGAAAAAAGAAUCACUCAAUUCGGAGUCCGUAUGAAAAAAUUGUUGGCGUUUUGAGUCAGGUAUGUCUGUGCAGUCCGAAUCUGAAUCCAGAACGUGAGAGAUUUGGACUCUAUCUUCUCUUGGCCCAAAAGUGACGUGAGAGGACUUUUUGAACAGAACCUAAACUUCUCCUUUUCCCCUAUCUUCAUAUGUGGAUUGUACAAAUGUCCCAUGCACCUGCAAUUAGACAAAACACAAAAGUGUGUGAAGUAUUUUUGUUCUGGAUAACAUAAAUAGAUUAUUGAAUAGUUUGCACUAGAAAUCACCUGAUAAAUAUGCAUGUAUGCAAUAUUUUUGGUCGUAUCAAGGUAGUCAUGUCCUCAUCAAUGUAUCUACCCUCAAACGGUGGAAUAUUCAAUUUCAGUUUAGGAACAUGGUCAUGAUCUCGUACCUGAGGUGGUGGUGCAGGCCUACCGUUGCGAAUAUAUACCUGAGGUCGACCUGCUGGUGGUGGUGCUGGUGGCUGCACGUAGUUCUGAUUUUGAUCAACCUCAUCCAAUCGCCCGCAUAAUCGUCAUCCUCCUCAGCCGCGCAGUAGCAGGAGCCAAAGAAGCAUCAACAGUAGGUGCAGCGGCACCCAAAUUUUGACCAGUCUCAAUUGGAACGCGCUGUGCUCGUCCCACUUGAUUUGGAAGGCGGCGUUGGAGAUGUGAUUGUUGUUGUUGUAGAGGUGCGACAGGUGCAGCCGGUGGUGGUUGGGGAAGACGCUUGAGCAAUUCAUUAAACUUGUUAUCCAGCUUUGUCUCGAACGACUUCUCCACGGCAUCUAUCUUCUCCAUGGCCUCUUCAAAUCUGUUUAGCACAUCUCCCACCUGGCCACUCAUCAUUUGCUGAAAUUUAUCAUGCAACUCCUUGUUCGUCAUGUUCUCCCAAUCAGUCUCAUCGGCUUGUGAUCCUACCAUGGUUAGCAGCAAUAGAAACACAAAAGAAUAUGAUCCUACAGACUACUAGGAAAUGGUGGUGACGGUGGUGUGUCACAAAUCCUUCAAGCGAAUCUCAAAUUCUUACCAGUUCUUACCCAGCAGCAGGUGGUGAUCGGCAACCGUUGUAGUCAAAACUCUCAAAUCUUGGAUAGAGCGAUUACCAGGGAGAGUCAAACGCACGACGUAGAUGUAUGUGGAGCUAGGAAGGCUUAUAAUAUGGUAGCAAAAAGGGUCAGCAAUAAUCAAUUCAGAUAUGCAAAGUUGAAUAAACGCUCAACGACGGUACUGUGCUGGUCCUAGGCUAGACCGUGCUAGAGACGCGAGCCUAGAACACUAACAAAAUCACGACGCUGCACGUAAACAAGGGAGGAGCACACUCUGAAUUUUUUUCUCUUUUUUUUCACUUUUUUUGCACUUUUUUUCCUCUUUUUUUUUGCUCCGCAACAAUUUUUUUCGAAAAAGUCUACAAAUGGUCUAAAAACUGCCUAGCCAGAAUUUUCCAGACUUCGUUUUUUUUUUGAAACUGGAACUAUUUUUCUACUCCGGGUAACACAGAAGUUUGGGAGUCCUUCUCUGUCACGACUCGGAGUAUGGCUGGUGGCGGAGAUGAAUCUGGUGGAACUCGGACUGGUGGCGGAUAUAUGUUGCAGGUGUACUCGGAUUGGCGUGAUGACGGCGGAUAUGUGGUGGCGUAUAUGGACUCGGAUUGGCGAUGAAUAUGUGGUGGUGGUAUAUGGCAGCGGCGAUGAAGUUGGUGCGGUGGUGGUAUAUGGCAGCAGCGAUGAUGAUGAUGCGGUGGUGAUAUAUGGCAGCGGCGAUGUGACAACCUGUGAACAAAACUCGAAACUCUAAAGGACUAGACGCUAAGACCAGCAACUUGACACGACGAUGCAACCGCAAAUUCAACAAAGCAAACACAGAAAAGAUUAUGCAAAGGCUCACUUGGUUCGGAUAGGAUGAACUAACCCUAAAAAAAAUUCGGCUUUUUCGUGGACUAUAGGUAUGAAGAACAGACUCGAUCUAAACUACGAAAAACUGUAAAAUCUCACCGAGCAACCUGGAAAUCUGAUACCACUUGAUAGAGGCAAAGGUGUCCCGUCUUUCGAUGAGAUGAUGGAUAUCGCUUUGGUGGAAGUCGACUUUGACGAUCCGACUACGAAUGUGCGAUGACGUCGCGCCUUAGCAAUCGCUAAACCAACUCCGAGAGGUUAUUGACCACGCCGGAGCACGAUCAACCUGACCACGAGGGUCUGUUUCCUGCGAGCAAACGAAGAACAAGCAAGAAACUGAGAUUGCAAUCUGGAUAUUACAAAUAUAAGAUGAAAGCUUUAUUGAUCAAGGUGGGGUUCUAGGACACCUUUGCCUCGAUAUUUGUGAGCUUUGCUCCUACCUUCCCACUUGUGGAUCAAGACCCCUUUGGGAAGAAUCCUUGUGGAUUUCAAGAUCUCCUCAAGGAGAAGACUAUCUUCAAGACCUCGUCUCCUAGGAGUGGGAAGAACUUUGCCAUUGUAUCUUUCCUUUGAUUGUGUUUGAGACUUGUGGAUCUUAUGUUGCUAUUCUAGUGGAUGUGUAAUUGGGAAUUGUUUGAGUGAUUUCCUCUUUGUGUUCUUGAGUGAUUUUGCCCUUUUCCCCCUCCAAGUGUGAAAAGAUCCCCUCUAGGGUUUCACCCUACAUCAUCUUGGUAUCAUGUGCAAGGUUGAUUCACAUCUUGGAGUCCCAUCCCCCCAUUUGCUAGCUUGAUUUUGUUGUUUUUUGUCCAAAUUCGAAAAUCCCCACAAAAAUAGCCCCAAAAAAAAUUCUUGCAAUUUGUUGGAUCUUGUGAGAUUUGGUUGUUUUGGUCCACGAAUUUGGUGUUUGGCAAGUGGAUCUACCCAUCUUCCAGCCUCCGCACCCUUCAAAUCCUCGAAAUUGGCCUUAGCUUUCAAGAUUCCCACGGAUCCGUAGCUUUUCAUCCGCUCCCAGAACACCCCGUGCAUACGGGCCCUCGAGACCCCAUGCACACGGGACCCCGUGCACACGGGCCUCACUUACUCCGUGCGCACGGACCAUCCAGUGACUUUCGGCCAUCUUUUGUUUGCACCAUUUUGUUUCCCAACCAACACUCGUGUUCUCCCGCACUAUUUCUCGUGGUUGUUUGAGUUUUGGACCGCGGUUUCUCUUGUGUCCUAAGGUGUUUCGGCUACUUAGGCGCAUUUGGGCAUCAUCAUCGCCGCCACUCGAUCGUCAACUCGGACACCACAUGAUGAGGACAUCAAUACCAUUGUUACACCCACAACCCCUGCUGCUAUACAUACUGGACCAAUUACUAGAGCUCGCGCACGCCAAUUAAAUUACCAGGUACUUUCGUUUCUUGGUAAUGAUUCUAAUGUUCAUGAGAAUAUGAUGCUGCCUAAAUUGGAUACAUUUGUUUUGCUUACAAAUGAAGGGCCUAGCUUUGAGAAGGAUGAACAUUGGAGCAAGAACAAGCAUGGAGAUGAUGGCAUGCGCAUGGGGAACAAGAACGGAGUUACAAGUGAUGAUUUCAGGACGUUGAAGCCACCAUAAUGCGUGCAUGAAGCCUUGGACGAAAUAUACAAGAUGCUACUUCAUAACUUUCGUCCAGAGGCUAUUCUAGGUGCUGCGUCACCUUAUUAUUGGGCCAGGCCCAUGUAAUUUCGAAAUACUUGAGUAUAGGCUGUUUUUAGAGUCCGUAUGUGUGGGGAAACAAGAGAUAGGGUUGGUUUCGGACCCCUUCCCCAAGGGCCUCGAAAUUCCCCCCUCUUCCUCCAUAUAUACAGCCCUUAGGGCGUCGUUUAGACUUUGGGUUUUCUUUAGAUUAAAAGUUCGCCAUAGCUGCAACUUCGCGUACUUCGUUUGUGUUCAACGACCAGACAAAGGCGUCACAGAACUCCACCUUGAUCAAUAAAGCUUUCAUCUUAUAUUCGCAAUAUCCAGAUUGCAAUCUCAGUUUCUUGCUUGUUCUUCGUUUGCUCGCAAGAAACAGACCCUCGUGGUCAGGUUGAUCGUGCUCCGGCGUGGUCAAUAACCUCUCGGAGUUGGUUUAGCGAUUGCUAAGGCGCGACGUCAUCGCACGUUCGUAGUCGGAUCGUCAAAGUCGACUUCCACCAAAGCGAUAUCCAUCAUCUCAUCGAAAGAUGGAACACCUUUGUCUCUAUCAAGUGGUAUCAGAUUUCCAGGUUGCUCGGUCAGAUUUUACAGUUUUCCGUAGUUUAGAUCGAGUUUGUUCUUCAUACCUAUAGUCCACAAAAAGCCAAAAAAAAUUAGGGUUAGUUCAUCCUAUCAGAACCAAUGUGAGCCUUUGCAUAAUCUUUUCUGUGUUUGCUUUGUUGAAUUUGCGGUUGCAUCGUCGUGUCAAGUUGCUGGUCUUAGCGUCUAGUCCUUUAGAGUUUCGAGUUUUGUUCACAGGUUGUCACGUCGCCGCUGCCAUAUAUCACCACCGCAUCAUCAUCAUCGCUGCGGCCAUAUACCACCACCGCACCAACUUCAUCGCCGCUGCCAUAUACCACCACCACAUAUUCACCGCCAAUCCGAGUCCAUAUACGCCACCACAUAUCCGCCGCCAUCACGCCAAUCCGAGUACACCUGCAACAUAUAUCCGCCACCAGUCCGAGUUCCACCAGAUUCAUCUCCGCCACCAGUCCGAGUUCCACCAGAUUCAUCUCCGCCACCAGUCCUAGUCCAAGUCCAGUAUUAUGUUACUCUGUUUUGGAUUUCCAGAUCACGCCAUACUCCGAGUCGUGAUAGAGAAGGACUCCCAAACUUUUGUGUUACCCGCAGUAGAAAAAUAGUUCCAGUUUCAAAAAAAACUAAGUCUAGAAAAUUCUGGCUAGGCAGUUUUAAGACCAUUUGUAGACUUUUUCGGGAAAAAAUUGUUGCGGAGCAAAAAAAAUAAAAGAGGAAAAAAAGUGCAAAAAAAGGGAAAAAAAUUCAGAGUGUGCUCCUCCCUUGUUUACGUGCAGCGCCGUGAUUUUGUUAGUGUUCUAGGCUCGCGUCUCUAGCACGGUCUAGCCUAGGACCAGCACAGUACCGUCGUUGAGCGUUUAUUCAACUUUGCAUAUCUGAAUUGAUUAUUGCUGACCCUUUUUGCUACCAUAUUAUAAGCCUUCCCAGCUCCACAUACAUCUACGUCGUGCGUUUGACUCUCCCUGGUAAUCGCUCUAUCCAAUCUUUGAGAGUUUUGACUACAACAGUUGCCGAUCACCACCUGCUGCUGGGUAAGAACUGGUAAAAAUUUGAGAUUCGCUUGAAGGAUUUGUGACACACCACCAUCACCACCACUUCCUACUAGUCUGUGUUUCUAUUGCUGCUAACCAUGGCAGGAUCACAAGCCGAUGAGACUGAUUGGGAGAACAUGAAGAACAAGGGGUUGCGUGAUAAAUUUCAGCAAAUGAUGAGUGGCCAGGUGUGAUGAGGACAUGACUACCUUGGAUACGACCAAAAAUAUUGCAUACAUGCAUAUUUGCCAGGUGAUUUCUAGUGCAAACUAUUCAAUAAUCUAUUUAUGUUAUCCAGAACAAAAAUACUUCACACACUUUUGUGUUUUGUCUAAUUGCAGGUGUAUGGGACAUUUGUACAAUCCACAUAUGAAGAUAAGGCAAAAGGAGAAGUUUAGGUUCUGUUCAAAAAGUCCUCUCACGUCACUUUUGGGCCAAGAGAAGAUAGAGUCCAAGUCUCUCACGUUCUGGAUUCAGAUUCGGACUGCACAGACAUACCUGACUCAAAACGCCAACAACUUUUUCAUACGGACUCCGAAUUGGGUGAUUCUUUUUUUGUUGAAAACUAGAUUUCGUGCUUUUUCCAACCCAAUUGGAUUCACCUUUAAAUUCGUCCGGAGCAUUGAGUUAUGGUCGAAACAAUCUGACAUUGCACCAGAAUCCGAGUCAAACUACAAGUCCAAAGGUGUUGCAUCACCUCCACUUGGGCCCAUGAGCCUUGUACGACCUAGGGUUGGUUUUAGGCUGCCUUGGGACGUCCUCCCACCUCCUUGGCCGCCACCCCUUGCUCCUAUAUAAGUAGAUCCAUCUAGUAGCUUUUUCCUUGGGAUUUGUUUAGUUAAAAGUUAGCCAUUGCAACUUCGUGUACUUCGUUUGUGUCCAACGACCAGACCAAGACCGCUUACGGAUCCCCACCAUUAUCAAUACUUCAUAUAUAUUCGCAAUAUUCAGAUUGCUUUAUCAUAUUCUUGCUCGUUCUUCGAUUGCUUGCAGGAAUAGACCUUCGUGGUCAGGCUGAUCGUGCUUCCGGUAUCGUCAGUAACCUCAGGAGAUUGGUUUAGCGAUUGCUAAGGCGCAACGUCGUGCACGUUUGUAGUCGGAUCGUCAAAGUCGACUCCACCAAAUCGAUAGUUAUCAUCUCAUCGAAAGAUCGGGACACCCUCGCCCCUAUCAAGUGGUAUCAGUUUUCAGGUUGCUCGGUGAGAAUUUCCAGUUUCCUCUAGAUUAGAUUUAUUUUCUUACCUAUUGUCCAAGAAAAAGCCACAAAAAAGUUAGAUCUAUUCAUCUUUUUGUCCAAGCCAGUCUGAGCCUUUGCAAUUUUCUAUUCAUUGUUUGCAUUAUUGAAUUAUCGGUUGCAUCGUCGUGUCGAGUUGCUGGUCUUAGGGUCUAGUUCGUUUAGAGUUUCGAGUUCUGUUCACAUUAGUCACGUCGCCGCUGCAUCGUUAUCCCUUCUGCUGUCCACCACACCAUCCAUCAAAUUCCACCAUGUGCUACCCAUAGUUCAUUGUCACAAUCAUAGUUGAGGUCGUUCACAUCUUCGCUUGAUCCAAUCUGCAUCUUAUCUAGUUUGUCUUGGAAAGAGGGAGAGAAAAAAAAAGACAGAAAAAAAAGAGAAAAAAAAGAAGUCAGAAAAAAAAAGAGAAAGAAAAAAAGUGUGAGGAAAAAAAAAGAGAAGAAAAAAAACAAAAUUCGGAUCUAUCUAGACUCAAUCUCGUAGUUGAAUUCGGAUUGGAAUCUGUUUUGUGCACUGUUUAGUAAAACAGGCAUACCUUCCUCAUACGAAGUCCGUUUUGACUCCGCGAGUACUCAAAUGAAAGCUAGCGACGAGCCGCAUCUAAAUAGUUGCAGAGACUAGUUCAAUAUUUGACACCUCAAAAUCGUCUUCUAAAUAGGUCUUUUUGCCCUCCGAAGUUCGCGGACACAGCUUAUUCCAGUUUUUCAAGCCAGUUUCAGAAUUCUUUCACUCCUCAUAUCAACUCGGAAUUGAGUGAUUCUUUUUGCAUUGGACAGCUUGAGUUAGUAGCAUUCUUUGAAAAAAAUUAUUAGAAAAUUGGCACAAACUUUUCAAGAGGAAAGUUGGAGAGAGUUGUUGUAUAUCCUGCUUGGCAGUUGUUUUUCAUCAUUAUCUUUACUGCCGUUGUGAUCUUCACUUAUAUCUUGCUGUCCAGAGCUACUUAGUAUCCUUCAUUGAUGCUAGUUGUGCUACGCCGUGACCUCAUUAGUGUUCUAGGCUCGCGUCUCUAGUCCGGUCUAGCCUAGGACCAGCACAGUACCGUCGUUGAGCGUUUAUUCAACAUUGCAUCUCUGAAUUGAUUAUUGCUAAUAUUUUGCUACCAUAUAUAGCCAACCCAGCUCCACAUAUUUCUACACCGUGUAUACGUACGUUCCCCUGGAAAUCGCUUUACUCAAUCUUUGGAGUUAUUUGACACCGCUGGUUGCCUGUCACCACCUGCUGCUUGGUAAGAACUUGUAAGAUAUUGAUAUUUGCUUUACUGUGAGCGCUUUACCACCACAUCCUAGUAGUUCAUGGGAACAUUAUUCUUGAAUUUUGUUUCUUGUUUCUACUAAUCAUGACAGGAUCUAGAGUCAAUUCAUGGGGUUUGUCGAUCGUGGGAGAUGUGCCAUCACCUAUGCAAAUACCACAACCGCCACGAGAGGUGCACAAACAUCCAAAUGUACAUGAUCAGGUUAAUGUUUCUAUACCACCAUUUAAUGGCCGUUUUAGACCUGCUUUAUAUAUUGAAUGGGAGUUUGACCUAAAUAAUAUAUUUGCUUCCAAUAAUUUUGAUGUACGUAAAAAAGUUAAGGUUGCGGUUGGUUCUUUCACUGGUUAUGCUGUAGUUUGGUGGAGUGAAUAUUGUCGGUUACACCCUAAUGAUAUACCUACUACUUGGGAUGAUUUGAAACUUGCCAUGCGACAUACAUUCGUUCCCGCUUAUUAUACUCGUGACAUGAUUACAAAGUUGCAACAUUUAAAACAAGGUAGUGACACCGUAACGAAAUAUUAUGAUACUUUACAAACUACCUUGCUGCAUUCCUCUUUAGAAGAAAGUGAAGAAAAUUUUAUGGAUAGAUUUUGGGGAGGAUUAAAUCGUGACAUUCAGGAGAUACUAAUACAUGAAGAGUGUUAUCCUAUGGACCAUUUGUUUCAUCUUGCUUGCAAAGCUGAACAGGAAAUAAAACGACGUGUUGCGCACAAGGAGAACAAGCGCGAGAUGCACAUUCCAAGAGUUGAUACGGUUGUCCCUUCAACUACUAAGCAUACUAUGACAACCACAUCCGUUGUUGUGAGGACUACAUCACCUCCACCAUGUGACACAUCAUCACCGAGAGUGCCUACCUCAUCUGAGUUGAUCAUAAGAGGUAAUGACAAAGGUACUAAUCUUCCACUUCCACAUGAGUAUGAUGAAUGUCUUGUCAAUUUAAGUGCACCAUGCGGUGAGCUACCCACUACUUUGAUCACACCAGCUACCUUAGAGGACUAUGUUGAUGAUUUGACUUUGCCAUGUGAUCAAACAAUUUUGAGUGAGCCCAUUGAAUUAGCUAUCGAUGCAAAAGAAUCAAGUGAAUCUGGGAAUAAAUCAGAUUUGGAUCAAAUAUGUUUGAAAAUAAUUGUGCCAAUGUUUAAUCAUUUUGAUAUGACCUCUAAUCUUGGUGAUGGUUCAUCAAUGUUGGGAUGGUUUAAUGAUGAAUAUUGUCCAUCUUUUCAUAUGAAUAAGAGCUUCACUUAUAUGUGCAAACUGAGUUGCAAUACUUUCAUGCCUUCUACUUCUUGUGAUAAUAUUUUGGCUUUAUAUUUUAUUAACUAUGAAAGUUAUUCAUGUAUACAUGUGUCAUAUGUGCAAAAUCCACGGGAGGUAAAAAUGGAUGACAUAUACAUAUACAACAUGUACACCUUGUCUCUUUUGUUAGCCACAUUUCAGAUUAAGCAACGCCGAGGACGGCUUUGUUUUCAAGAAGGGGAGGAUGAUGAGGACAUGACUACCUUGGAUACGACCAAAAAUAUUGCAUACAUGCAUAUUUGUCAGGUGAUUUCUAGUGCAAACUAUUCAAUAAUCUAUUUAUGUUAUCCAGAACAAAAAUACUUCACACACUUUUGUGUUUUGUCUAAUUGCAGGUGUAUGGGACAUUUGUACAAUCCACAUAUGAAGAUAAGGCAAAAGGAGAAGUUUAGGUUCUGUUCAAAAAGUCCUCUCACGUCACUUUUGGGCCAAGAGAAGAUAGAGUCCAAGUCUCUCACGUUCUGGAUUCAGAUUCGGACUGCACAGACAUACCUGACUCAAAACGCCAACAACUUUUUCAUACGGACUCCGAAUUGGGUGAUUCUUUUUUUGUUGGAAACUAGAUUUCGUGCUCUUUCCAACCCAAUUGGAUUCACCUUUAAAUUCGUCCGGAGCAUUGAGUUAUGGUCGAAACAAUCUGACGUUGCACCAGAAUCCUAGUCAAACUACAAGUCCAAAGGUGUUGCAUCACCUCCACUUGGGCCCAUGAGCCUUGUACGACCUAGGGUUGGUUUUAGGCUGCCUUGGGACGUCCUCCCACCUCCUUGGCCGCCACCCCUUGCUCCUAUAUAAGUAGAUCCAUCUAGUAGCUUUUUCCUUGGGAUUUGUUUAGUUAAAAGUUAGCCAUUGCAACUUCGUGUACUUCGUUUGUGUCCAACGACCAGACCAAGACCACUUACGGAUCCCCACCACUAUCAAUACUUCAUAUAUAUUCGCAAUAUUCAGAUUGCAUUAUCAUAUUCUUGCUCGUUCUUCGAUUGCUUGCAGGAAUAGACCUUCGUGGUCAGGCUGAUCGUGCUUCCGGCAUCGUCAGUAACCUCAGGAGAUUGGUUUAGCGAUUGAUAAGGCGCAACGUCGUGCACGUUUGUAGUCGGAUCGUCAAAGUCGUCUCCACCAAAUUGAUAGUUAUCAUCUCAUCGAAAGAUCGGGACACCCUCGCCUCUAUCAAGUGGUAUCAGUUUUCAGGUUGCUCGGUGAGAAUUUCCAGUUUCUCCUAGAUUAGAUUUAUUUUCUUACCUAUUGUCCAAGAAAAAGCCACAAAAAAGUUAGAUCUAUUCAUCCUUUUGUCCAAGCCAGUCUGAGCCUUUGCAAUUUUCUAUUCAUUGCUUGCAUUAUUGAAUUAUCGGUUGCAUCGUCGUGUCGAGUUGCUGGUCUUAGGGUCUAGUUCGUUUAGAGUUUCGAGUUCUGUUCACAUUAGUCACGUCGCCGCUGCAUCGUUAUCCCUUCUGCUGUCCACCACACCAUCCAUCAAAUUCCACCACGUGCUACCCAUAGUUCAUUGUCACAAUCAUAGUUGAGGUCGUUCACAUCUUCGCUUGAUCCAAUCUGCAUCUUAUCUAGUUUGUCUUGGAAAGAGGGAGAGAAAAAAAAGACAGAGAAAAAAAAGAGAGAAAAAAGAAAGAAAAAGAAGUCAAAAAAAAGAGAAAGAAAAAAAAGUGUGAGGAAAAAAAAGAGAAGAAAAAAACAAAAUUCGGAUCUAUCUAGACUCGAUCUCGUAGUUGAAUUCGGAUUGGAAUCUGUUUUGUGCACUGUUUAGUAAAACAGGCAUAACUUCCUCAUACGAAGUCCGUUUUGACUCCGCGAGUACUCAAAUGAGAGCUAGCGACGAGCCGCAUCUAAAUAGUUGCAGAGACUAGUUCAAUAUUUGACACCUCAAAAUCGUCUUCUAAAUAGGUCUUUUUGCCCUCCGAAGUUCGCGGACACAGCUUAUUCCAGUUUUUCAAGCCAGUUUCAGAAUUCUUUCACUCCUCAUAUCAACUCGGAAUUGAGUGAUUCUUUUUGCAUUGGAAAGCUUGAGUUAGUAGCAUUCUUUUGAAAAAAAUUAUCAGAAAAUUGGCACAAACUUUUCAAGAGGAAAGUUGGAGAGAGUUGUUGUAUAUCCUGCUUGGCAGUUGUUUUUCAUCAUUAUCUUUACUGCCGUUGUGAUCUUCACUUAUAUCUUGCUGUCCAGAGCUACUUAGUAUCCUUAAUUGAUGCUAGUUGUGCUACGCCGUGACCUCAUUAGUGUUCUAGGCUCGCGUCUCUAGUCCGGUCUAGCCUAGGACCAGCACAGUACCGUCGUUGAGCGUUUAUUCAACAUUGCAUCUCUGAAUUGAUUAUUGCUAAUAUUUUGCUACCAUAUAUAGCCAACCCAGCUCCACAUAUUUCUACACCGUGUAUACGUACGUUCCCCUGGAAAUCGCUUUACUCAAUCUUUGGAGUUAUUUGACACCGCUGGUUGCCUGUCAUCACCUGCUGCUUGGUAAGAACUUGUAAGAUAUUGAUAUUUGCUUUACUGUGAGCGCUUUACCACCACAUCCUAGUAGUUCAUAGGAACAUUAUUCUUGAAUUUUGUUUCUUGUUUCUACUAAUCAUGACAGGAUCUAGAGUCAAUUCAUGGGGUUUGUCGAUCGUGGGAGAUGUGCCAUCACCUAUGCAAAUACCACAACCGUCACGAGAGGUGCACAAACAUCCAAAUGCACAUGAUCAGGUUAAUGUUUCUAUACCACCAUUUAAUGGCCGUUUUAGACCCGCUUUAUAUAUUGAAUGGGAGUUUGACCUAAAUAAUAUAUUUGCUUCCAGUAAUUUUGAUGUGCGUAAAAAAGUUAAGGUUGCGGUUGGUUCUUUCACUGGUUAUGCUGUAGUUUGGUGGAGUGAAUAUUGUCGGUUACACCCUAAUGAUAUACCUACUACUUGGGAUGAUUUGAAACUUGCCAUGCGACAUACAUUCGUUCCCGCUUAUUAUACUCGUGACAUGAUUACAAAGUUGCAACAUUUAAAACAAGGUAGUGACACCGUAACGAAAUAUUAUGAUACUUUACAAACUACCUUGCUGCAUUCCUCUUUAGAAGAAAGUGAAGAAGAUUUUAUGGAUAGAUUUUGGGGAGGAUUAAAUCGUGACAUUCAGGAGAUACUAAUACAUGAAGAGUGUUAUCCUAUGGACCAUUUGUUUCAUCUUGCUUGCAAAGCUGAACAGGAAAUAAAACGACGUGUUGCGCACAAGGAGAACAAGCGCGAGAUGCACAUUCCAAGAGUUGAUACGGUUGUCCCUUCAACUACUAAGCAUACUAUGACAACCACAUCCCUUGUUGUGAGGACUACAUCACCUCCACCAUGUGACACAUCAUCACCGAGAGUGCCUACCUCAUCUGAGUUGAUCAUAAGAGGUAAUGACAAAGGUACUAAUCUUCCACUUCCACAUGAGUAUGAUGAAUGUCUUGUCAAUUUAAGUGCACUAUGCGGUGAGCUACCCAUUACUUUGAUCACACCAGCUACCUUAGAGGACUAUGUUGAUGAUUUGACUUUGCCAUGUGAUCAAACAAUUUUGAGUGAGCCCAUUGAAUUAACUAUCGAUGCAAAAGAAUCAAGUGAAUCAGGGAAUAAAUCAGAUUUGGAUCAAAUAUGUUUGAAAAUAAUUGUGCCAAUGUUUAAUCAUUUUGAUAUGACCUCUAAUCUUGGUGAUGGUUCAUCAAUGUUGGGAUGGUUUAAUGAUGAAUAUUGUCAAUCUUUUCAUAUGAAUAAGAGCUUCACUUAUAUGUGCAAACUGAGUUGCAAUACUUUCAUGCCUUCUACUUCUUGUGAUAAUAUUUUGGCUUUAUAUUUUAUUAACUAUGAAAGUUACUCAUGUAUACAUGUGUCAUAUGUGCAAAAUCCACGGGAAGUAAAAAUGGAUGACAUAUACAUAUACAACAUGUACACCUUGUCUCUUUUGUUAGCCACAUUUCAGAUUAAGCAACGCCGAGGACAGCUUUGUUUUCAAGAAGGGGAGGAUGAUGAGGACAUGACUACCUUGGAUACGACCAAAAAUAUUGCAUACAUGCAUAUUUGUCAGGUGAUUUCUAGUGCAAACUAUUCAAUAAUCUAUUUAUGUUAUCCAGAACAAAAAUACUUCACACACUUUUGUGUUUUGUCUAAUUGCAGGUGUAUGGGACAUUUGUACAAUCCACAUAUGAAGAUAAGGCAAAAGGAGAAGUUUAGGUUCUGUUCAAAAAGUCCUCUCACGUCACUUUUGGGCCAAGAGAAGAUAGAGUCCAAGUCUCUCACGUUCUGGAUUCAGAUUCGGACUGCACAGACAUACCUGACUCAAAAUGCCAACAACUUUUUCAUACGGACUCCGAAUUGGGUGAUUCUUUUUUUGUUGGAAACUAGAUUUCGUGCUCUUUCCAACACAAUUGGAUUCACCUUUAAAUUCGUCCGGAGCAUUGAGUUAUGGUCGAAACAAUCUGACGUUGCACCAGAAUCUGAGUCAAACUACAAGUCCAAAGGUGUUGCAUCACCUCCACUUGGGCCCAUGAGCCUUGUACGACCUAGGGUUGGUUUUAGGCUGCCUUGGGACGUCCUCCCACCUCCUUGGCCGCCACCACUUGCUCCUAUAUAAGUAGAUCCAUCUAGUAGCUUUUUCCUUGGGAAUUUGUUUAGUUAAAAGUUAGCCAUUGCAACUUCGUGUACUUCGUUUGUGUCCAACGACCAGACCAAGACCGCUUACGGAUUCCCACCACUAUCAAUACUUCAUAUAUAUUCGCAAUAUUCAGAUUGCAUUAUCAUAUUCUUGCUCGUUCUUCGAUUGCUUGCAGGAAUAGACCUUCGUGGUCAGGCUGAUCGUGCUUCCGGCAUCGUCAGUAACCUCAGGAGAUUGGUUUAGCGAUUGAUAAGGCGCAACGUCGUGCACGUUUGUAGUCGGAUCGUCAAAGUCAUCUCCACCAAAUCGAUAGUUAUCAUCUCAUCGAAAGAUCGGGACACCUUUGCCUCUAUCAAGUGGUAUCAGAUUUCCAGGUUGCUCGGUGAGAUUUUACAGUUUUUCAUAGUUUAGAUCGAGUCUGUUCUUCAUACCUACAGUCCACGAAAAAGCCACAAAAAAAAAAUUAGAGUCAAUUCAUGGGGUUUGUCGAUCGUGGGAGAUGUGCCAUCACCUAUGCAAAUACCACAACCGUCACGAGAGGUGCACAAACAUCCAAAUGCACAUGAUCAGGUUAAUGUUUCUAUACCACCAUUUAAUGGCCGUUUUAGACCUGCUUUAUAUAUUGAAUGGGAGUUUGACCUAAAUAAUAUAUUUGCUUCUAAUAAUUUUGAUGUACGUAAAAAAGUUAAGGUUGCGGUUGGUUCUUUCACUGGUUAUGCUGUAGUUUGGUGGAGUGAAUAUUGUCGGUUACACCCUAAUGAUAUACCUACUACUUGGGAUGAUUUGAAACUUGCCAUGCGACAUACAUUCGUUCCCGCUUAUUAUACUCGUGACAUGAUUACAAAGUUGCAACAUUUAAAACAAGGUAGUGACACCGUAACGAAAUAUUAUGAUACUUUACAAACUACCUUGCUGCAUUCCUCUUUAGAAGAAAGUGAAGAAGAUUUUAUGGAUAGAUUUUGGGGAGGAUUAAAUCGUGACAUUCAGGAGAUACUAAUACAUGAAGAGUGUUAUCCUAUGGACCAUUUGUUUCAUCUUGCUUGCAAAGCUGAACAGGAAAUAAAACGACGUGUUGCGCACAAGGAGAACAAGUGCGAGAUGCACAUUCCAAGAGUUGAUACGGUUGUCCCUUCAACUACUAAGCAUACUAUGACAACCACAUCCGUUGUUGUGAGGACUACAUCACCUCCACCAUGUGACACAUCAUCACCGAGAGUGCCUACCUCAUCUGAGUUGAUCAUAAGAGGUAAUGACAAAGGUACUAAUCUUCCACUUCCACAUGAGUAUGAUGAAUGUCUUGUCAAUUUAAGUGCACCAUGCGGUGAGCUACCCACUACUUUGAUCACACCAGCUACCUUAGAGGACUAUGUUGAUGAUUUGACUUUGCCAUGUGAUCAAACAAUUUUGAGUGAGCCCAUUGAAUUAACUAUCGAUGCAAAAGAAUCAAGUGAAUCAGGGAAUAAAUCAGAUUUGGAUCAAAUAUGUUUGAAAAUAAUUGUGCCAAUGUUUAAUCAUUUUGAUAUGACCUCUAAUCUUGGUGAUGGUUCAUCAAUGUUGGGAUGGUUUAAUGAUGAAUAUUGUCAAUCUUUUCAUAUGAAUAAGAGCUUCACUUAUAUGUGCAAACUGAGUUUGCAAUACUUUCAUGCCUUCUACUUCUUGUGAUAAUAUUUUGGCUUUAUAUUUUAUUAACUAUGAAAGUUACUCAUGUAUACAUGUGUCAUAUGUGCAAAAUCCACGGGAAGUAAAAAUGGAUGACAUAUACAUAUACAACAUGUACACCUUGUCUCUUUUGUUAGCCACAUUUCAGAUUAAGCAACGCCGAGGACGGCUUUGUUUUCAAGAAGGGGAGGAUGAUGAGGACAUGACUACCUUGGAUACGACCAAAAAUAUUGCAUACAUGCAUAUUUGCCAGGUGAUUUCUAGUGCAAACUAUUCAAUAAUCUAUUUAUGUUAUCCAGAACAAAAAUACUUCACACACUUUUGUGUUUUGUCUAAUUGCAGGUGUAUGGGACAUUUGUACAAUCCACAUAUGAAGAUAAGGCAAAAGGAGAAGUUUAGGUUCUGUUCAAAAAGUCCUCUCACGUCACUUUUGGGCCAAGAAAAGAUAGAGUCCAAGUCUCUCACGUUCUGGAUUCAGAUUCGGACUGCACAGACAUACCUGACUCAAAACGCCAACAACUUUUUCAUACGGACUCCGAAUUGGGUGAUUCUUUUUUUGUUGAAAACUAGAUUUCGUGCUUUUUCCAACCCAAUUGGAUUCACCUUUAAAUUCGUCCGGAGCAUUGAGUUAUGGUCGAAACAAUCUGACAUUGCACCAGAAUCCGAGUCAAACUACAAGUCCAAAGGUGUUGCAUCACCUCCACUUGGGCCCAUGAGCCUUGUACGACCUAGGGUUGGUUUUAGGCUGCCUUGGGACGUCCUCCCACCUCCUUGGCCGCCACCCCUUGCUCCUAUAUAAGUAGAUCCAUCUAGUAGCUUUUUCCUUGGGAUUUGUUUAGUUAAAAGUUAGCCAUUGCAACUUCGUGUACUUCGUUUGUGUCCAACGACCAGACCAAGACCGCUUACGGAUCCCCACCAUUAUCAAUCCUUCAUAUAUAUUCGCAAUAUUCAGAUUGCUUUAUCAUAUUCUUGCUCGUUCUUCGAUUGCUUGCAGGAAUAGACCUUCGUGGUCAGGCUGAUCGUGCUUCCGGCAUCGUCAGUAACCUCAGGAGAUUGGUUUAGCGAUUGCUAAGGCGCAACGUCGUGCACGUUUGUAGUCGGAUCGUCAAAGUCGACUCCACCAAAUCGAUAGUUAUCAUCUCAUCGAAAGAUCGGGACACCUUUGCCUCUAUCAAGGUGGGAGAUGUGCUAAACAGAUUUGAAGAGGCUAUGGAGAAGAUAGAUGCCGUGGAGAAGUCGUUUGAGGCAAAGCUGGAUAACAGGAUUAAUGAAUUGCUCAAGCGUCUUCCCCAACCACCACCGGCUGCAUCUGUCGCACCUCUACAACAACAACCACAUCUCCAACGCCGCCUUCCAAAUCAAGUGGGACGAGCACAGCGCGUUCCAAUUGAGACUGGUCAAAAUUCGGGUGCCGCUGCACCUACUGUUGAUGCUUCUUUGGCUCCUGCUACUGCGGCAGCUGAGGAGGAUGACGAUUAUGCGGGCGAUUAUGAGGAUGAGGUUGAUCAAAAUCAGAACUACGUGCAGCCACCAGCACCACCUCCAGCAGGUCGACCUCAGGUAUAUAUUCGCAACGGUAGGCCUGCACCACGACCUCAGGUACGAGAUCAUGACCAUGUUCCUAAACUGAAAUUGAAUAUUCCUGAUGUAUAUCUUACUUGGGAGUUAGAAACUGAACAACGUUUUACAUGCUUACAAUAUCCCGAGGAGAGACGGUUUGCUGCUGCUGUUUGUGCUUUCACUAGUUUUGCAUGUGUAUGGUGGUCUGAACAUUGUAGAUUAUAUCCUAUUCCAGCUACUUGGGCUGCUUUGAAAACUGCUAUGCGUACUCGUUGGGUUCCACCAUAUUAUCAACGUGAAUUGCUUCAAAAACUGCAGCGUUUACGACAAGGGAAAAAUUCUGUAGAAGAAUAUUAUCAGGAAUUACAAACUGGCAUGAUUAGAUGUGGUAUUGUUGAGGAGAAUGAAGCUAUGCUUGCACGUUUUAUGGGUGGUUUAAAUAGAGAGAUUCAGACCAUUCUAGAGUAUAAGGAGUAUACUAAUAUCACUCGUUUAUUCCAUCUUGCUUGUAAAGCUGAACGUGAAGUGCAGGAUCGACAAGCAUUGGCGCGAACUAACUUUUCUGCAGGUCGACCUUCAUCAUGGACACCGCGUGCAUCUUCUACUUCCACUUCACCAUCACCAUGAACGUGAAGAGCUCUUCUUCUUCCAUGGCAUCAACAGGGCACACAAGUGAUAUUAUUUGUCAUCGUUGUAAGGGAAGAGGACAUUAUGCGCGAGAAUGCAAAUAUCAGCGUGUAAUGAUUGCUACUGAGGAUGGUGGGUAUGAGUCCGCUAGUGACUAUGAUGAGGAUACUUUGGCUCUUAUUACACGUGAAGAACAUGGUGGAGAUGAUUCUGAAAAUGAGACGCAAUACAUGGCUCCUGAAGACGCUGACAGGUAUGAAUGUUUAGUUGCUCAACGUGUUUUGAGUGUGCAGGUCACACCAGCAGAGCAAAAUCAGAGGCAUAAUUUGUUCCAUACAAAGGGAGUUGUGAAGGAACGGUCUGUUCGCGUCAUCAUAGAUGGAGGGAGCUGUAACAACUUGGCUAGCAUGGAGAUGGUGGAGAAGCUAUCUCUCACCACAAGACCACAUCCACAUCCUUACUACAUCCAAUGGUUCAACAACAGCGGCAAGGUUAAGGUAACACGUACUGUUCGUGUGCAUUUUAGCAUCACUACAUAUGCUGAUUAUGUUGAUUGUGAUGUGGUACCCAUGCAAGCAUGUUCCUUAUUACUUGGUAGACCAUGGCAAUUUGAUAAAAAUUCUGUACACCAUGGUAGGAACAAUCACUAUACUCUUGUUCAUAAGGAUAAAAAUAUUACUUUGCUUCCUAUGACUCCUGAUUCCAUUUUGAAAGAUGACAUUCAUAGAGCUAAUAAAGCAAAACAGGAGAAAAAUAAGAGUGAAAAUCAGAUUGUGGCAAAAGAAUUUGAGCAACAAUUGAAACCUAAUAAUAAACCAUCUAGUGUUGAUUCUGAAAUUAAAUUGAAAAGUGCAUGUUUACUUGCCACAAAAUCUUAUAUUGAUGAGCUAGAUUUCAGCAAAUCUGUUUGCUAUGCUUUUGUGUGCAAAGAGGCAUUAUUUUCAUUCGAGGACGUGCCUUCCACUUUGCCCCCUGCUGUCACUAACAUUUUGCAGGAGUUCGCUGACGUCUUUCCACAAGACGUGCCACCGGGAUUACCACCUAUUCGAGGGAUUGAGCAUCAAAUUGACUUAAUUCCCGGUGCAUCGCUACCCAACCGUGCACCAUACCGUACCAAUCUAGAGGUGAUAGAGGCGGGGGUGUCCCGAUCUUUCGAUGAGAUGAUAACUAUCGAUUUGGUGGAGUCGACUUUGACGAUCCGACUACAAACGUGCACGACGUUGCGCCUUAACAAUCGCUAAACCAAUCUCCUGAGGUUACUGACGAUGCCGGAAGUACGAUCAGCCUGACCACGAAGGUCUAUUCCUGCACGCAAUCGAAGAACAAGCAAGAAUAUGAUAAUGCAAUCUGAAUAUUGUGAAUAUAGAUGAAGUAUUGAUAAAGGUGGGGAUGCGUAAGCGGUCUUGGUCUGGUCGUUGGACACAAACGAAGUACACGAAGUUGCAAUGGCUAACUUUUAACUAAACAAAUCCCAAGCAAAAAACUACUAGAUGGAUCUACUUAUAUAGGAGCAAGGGGUGGCGGCCAAGGAGGUGGGAGGACGUCCCAAGGCAGCCUAAAACCAACCCUAGGUCGUACAAGGCUCAUGGGCCCAAGUGGAGGUGAUGCAACACCUUUGGACUUGUAGUUUGACUCGGAUUCUGGUGCAACGUCAGAUUGUUUCGACCAUAACUCAAUGCUCCGGACGAAUUUAAAGGUGAAUCCAAUUGGGUUGGAAAGAGCACGAAAUCUAGUUUCCAACAAAAAAAGAAUCACCCAAUUCGGAGUCCGUAUGAAAAAGUUGUUGGCGUUUUGAGUCAGGUAUGUCUGUGCAGUCCGAAUCUGAAUCCAGAACGUGAGAGACUUGGACUCUAUCUUCUCUUGGCCCAAAAGUGACGUGAGAGGACUUUUUAAACAGACCUAAACUUCUCCUUUUGCCUUAUCUUCAUAUGUGGAUUGUACAAAUGUCCCAUACACCUGCAAUUAGACAAAACACAAAAGUGUGUGAAGUAUUUUUGUUCUGGAUAACAUAAAUAGAUUAUUGAAUAGUUUGCACUAGAAAUCACCUGACAAAUAUGCAUGUAUGCAAUAUUUUUGGUCGUAUCCAAGGUAGUCAUGUCCUCAUCAUCCUCCCCUUCUUGAAAACAAAGCCGUCCUCGGCGUUGCUUAAUCUGAAAUGUGGCUAACAAAAGAGACAAGGUGUACAUGUUGUAUAUGUAUAUGUCAUCCAUUUUUACUUCCCGUGGAUUUUGCACAUAUGACACAUGUAUACAUGAGUAACUUUCAUAGUUAAUAAAAUAUAAAGCCAAAAAUUAUCACAAGAAGUAGAAGGCAUGAAAGUAUUGCAACUCAGUUUGCACAUAUAAGUGAAGCUCUUAUUCAUAUGAAAAGAUGGACAAUAUUCAUCAUUAAACCAUCCCAACAUUGAUGAACCAUCACCAAGAUGAGAGGUCAUAUCAAAAUGAUUAAACAUUGGCACAAUUAUUUUCAAACAUAUUUGAUCCAAAUCUGAUUUAUUCCCUGAUUCACUUGAUUCUUUUGCAUCGAUAGUUAAUUCAAUGGGCUCACUCAAAAUUGUUUGAUCACAUGGCAAAGUCAAAUCAUCAACAUAGUCCUCUAAGGUAGCUGGUGUGAUCAAAGUAGUGGGUAGCUCACCGCAUGGUGCACUUAAAUUGACAAGACAUUCAUCAUACUCAUGUGGAAGUGGAAGAUUAGUACCUUUGUCAUUACCUCUUAUGAUUAACUCAGAUGAGGUAGGCACUCUCGGUGAUGAUGUGUCACAUGGUGGAGGUGAUGUAGUCCUCACAACAACGGAUGUGGUUGUCAUAGUAUGCUUAGUAGUUGAAGGGACAACCGUAUCAACUCUUGGAAUCUGCAUCUCGUGCUUGUUCUCCUUGUGCGCAACACGUCGUUUUAUUUCCUGUUCAGCUUUGCAAGCAAGAUGAAACAAAUGGUCCAUAGGAUAACACUCUUCAUGUAUUAGUAUCUCCUGAAUGUCACGAUUUAAUCCUCCCCAAAAUCUAUCCAUAAAAUCUUCUUCACUUUCUUCUAAAGAGGAAUGCAGCAAGGUAGUUUGUAAAGUAUCAUAAUAUUUCGUUACGGUGUCACUACCUUGUUUUAAAUGUUGCAACUUUGUAAUCAUGUCACGAGUAUAAUAAGCGGGAACGAAUGUAUGUCGCAUGGCAAGUUUCAAAUCAUCCCAAGUAGUAGGUAUAUCAUUAGGGUGUAACCGACAAUAUUCACUCCACCAAACUACAGCAUAACCAGUGAAAGAACCAACCGCAACCUUAACAUUUUUACGUACAUCAAAAUUAUUGGAAGCAAAUAUAUUAUUUAGGUCAAACUCCCAUUCAAUAUAUAAAGCAGGUCUAAAACGGCCAUUAAAUGGUGGUAUAGAAACAUUAACCUGAUCAUGUGCAUUUGGAUGUUUGUGCACCUCUUGUGACGGUUGUGGUAUUUGCAUAGGUGAUGGCACAUCUCCCACGAUCGACAAACCCCAUGAAUUGACUCUAGAUCCUGUCAUGAUUAGUAGAAACAAGAAACAAAAUUCAAGAAUAAUGUUCCUAUGAACUACUAGGAUGUGGUGGUAAAGUGCUCACAGUAAAGCAAAUAUCAAUAUCUUACAAGUUCUUACCAAGCAGCAGGUGGUGACAGGCAACCAGCGGUGUCAAAUAACUCCAAAGAUUGAGUAAAGCGAUUGCCAAGGGAACGUACGUAUACACGGUGUAGAAAUAUGCGGAGCUGGGUUGGCUAUAUAUGGUAGCAAAAUAUUAGCAAUAAUCAAUUCAGAGAUGCAAUGUUGAAUAAACGCUCAACGACGGUACUGUGCUGGUCCUAGGCUAGACCGGACUAGAGAGGUCACGGCGUAGCACAACUAGCAUCAAUGAAGGAUACUAAGUAGCUCUGGACAGCAAGAUAUAAGUGAAGAUCACAACGGCAGUAAAGAUAAUGAUGAAAAACAACUGCCAAGCAGGAUAUACAACAACUCUCUCCAACUUUCCUCUUGAAAAGUUUGUGCCAAUUUUCUGAUAAUUUUUUUUCAAAGAAUGCUACUAACUCAAGCUUUCCAAUGCAAAAAGAAUCACUCAAUUCCGAGUUGAUACGAGGAGUCAAAGAAUUCUGAAACUGGCUUGAAAAACUGGAAUAAGCUGUGUCCGCGAACUUCGGAGGGCAAAAAGACCUAUUUAGAAGACGAUUUUGAGGUGUCAAAUAUUGAACUAGUCUCUGCAACUAUUUAGAUGCGGCUCGUCGCUAGCUCUCAUUUGAGUACUCGCGGAGUCAAAACGGACUUCGUAUGAGGAAGUUAUGCCUGUUUUACUAAACAGUGCACAAAACAGAUUCCAAUCCGAAUUCAACUACGAGAUCGAGUCUAGAUAGAUCCGAAUUUUGUUUUUUUUUCUUCUCUCUUUUUUUCCCUCACACUUUUUUCUUUCUCUUUUUUUUCUGACUUCUUGUUCUUUCUUUUUUCUCUCUUUUUUAUUCUCUGUCUUUUUUCUCUCCCACUUUCCAAGACAAACUAGAUAAGAUGCAGAUUGGAUCAAGCGAAGAUGUGAACGACCUCAACUAUGAUUGUGACAAUGAACUAUGGGUAGCACGUGGUGGAAUUUGAU
This 23140-nucleotide long non-coding RNA is filed under the name Triticum aestivum (bread wheat). RNAcentral's name for it is "long non-coding RNA (TAES_LNC024062)". Lineage: Eukaryota; Viridiplantae; Streptophyta; Magnoliopsida; Poales; Poaceae. The record is from RNAcentral.